Alligator sinensis (Chinese alligator) is the source of this 2771-nucleotide long non-coding RNA. RefSeq lists it as uncharacterized. The record is from RefSeq and is a predicted model, not a curated record. The transcript is spliced from 3 exons. NCBI's taxonomy places the organism in Eukaryota, Metazoa, Chordata, Crocodylia, Alligatoridae.
CAAGGAAAUCUGGAGUGGUUCAAUACCUCGUCUAGCCUGCUUUCAAGCCUGUGAUAUUCAGUGACAAACUCAUGGCUGCAUUUGUGCAACGGCACCGAAUGCCGUGCUGGCUAGGAGUGCUAUUUCUACACUAAAAUUGCCUUUCGAGCUGCAGGGAAGUUGCUCUCCUGCCUACAUAGGCUACAACUUUUUUUUGGACAGACACCCAACUGCAAAAAAAGUCUGUAAUGCAACAAACAGUUCAGGACGACUCCGUCUCCUUAACUAGGUCCCAUUCUGGAGGGUGAUGACAAAACUGCUCUGAAGAGGUCAGAAAAUACUUGGAGUUUGAUUGUAUGGGGUAAAGCAACAGCAAAAUAAGCUCCUUGGGCAAUGAAGUAAGGCAGAAGUGACGAAUUUGGAAGGCAAGGUGGAUAAUCAGUUGACAAGGAGCUCUCAAAGAUACGCUGGGCAAAGGUGCUAAUGUGAUUCUUGGCUGUAGAAACAGGGGACUAUUGAAUAGGAGAGCUAUUAUCUCUGUAGUUGGCACUAGUGUGAACGUUCCUGCACACGAUGUGCAAUACUGCUGUCCAUGCUUCAAGAAAGAUGCUGAAAAUUAAGAAGAUGCCAAGAAAACCCACAAGGAAUGAUUAAAACACCAGAAAACACACUAUUUAGUGAAGGACUGGAGGAGCUCAAUCUGUUUAGUUUAUCAAAAGUUGAGCACUGACCGAUGUAAGUACCUACCAAGGAACUGGCAAACGUACCUGAAGAAAGCUCUGCAAUCUAGCAGACAAAAAGUUAACUAGAACCACUGGCUGCAAGUUAAAGCUGGACAAAUGUAGGCUACAAAUAAAACACAAGCUUUUAAAUGAAGUAGCUAUCAACCACUGGAACAAUUUACCCAUGGCUGUGGUAGAUCCUGAAGUACUGGGAAUUUUAAAAUCCAGAUAGGCUGUUUUUCCAAAAAUUCAAGUAUAGCUAUUGAAUUUGCAGCAAGAAUUAAUAGAAGGAAGUCCAGAGGCCUGUGUUAAAUGGGAUGCCAGAGUAGAUGAUUACAAAGGUUACUCCUGGUUUUACAACCUACAAAGUGGGGAGAAGCUCAAUGACAUAACAGACAGAUGCUAAGAGUGAUUUAAGGGAAGAAGAAAGCCAGGGUUCAUUUCAAGUUAUACAGCCUUACUUUGAGCAUUCAGCAAAUGUAUUCAGAUAAUAGGAGGUCAAUUUGCCUUAAGACCCCCUCAACAAGCUGAAGUAAUGUUGGGUUAAAACAAUAAUUAAAUGGUAAAUUAUUUUGCACAAUUUAACGUAAACGUACCCAUUUUCAAAAGUGCGUAUGAAGUUUAUGUGCCCAUGCACAUGAAGUUACCACCACUUUUCAUGGAAAAAUUGAUCAUCUGCAACUGAAUCAAUCAACUAAUGCAAAGCUGGCUUCCUGACACCAGUCUAGCUAGAUCAUGCUACUGCUCAUGAUAAAUACCAUUUUCACAAAGAAUCAUGCAUACACACGCAAGAGAAAAGUCCAAGGAGCUUAUUAAAUCCCAAGCCACCAAGGCGGCAAAGGCUUGCCACAAAACAAUCCCAGUACAUGCAGGUUCUCCCAAGCUGUGCUGAUCUUUGGUAAGAAGCCAGCACAGUCCAUCAACACGAUGAAAAGGGUACGGAGACAUCCUGGGCUUGGGACCUCCGUGUUGCAAAGACCAUUAUCUUCUGAAAAACUCUGGUUAGCCGUUUACCUCUUCUGGGAGAUUCCAACUAAUGGAAAACACUGCCUUGGGAACAAGAAAUCUGCACUUUAGAUGCAGAUGUUCAGAAUCCGGGCCGUUGGGUUCCCAUUGUCAGAUAAGGACUUGUUGCCACCUAGUGGAUUAUCACUGACAAAGGCACACGUUUGGGCAGCAGAUGCACUAAUUACCACUAGAUGGAGUCUAAAAAACAAACCACUGCUUCUUGUGCAAGGAGAAGGAUUUUAAGAGUCCCAAAGCCAAGAUUUCAAGCAGCCUAAGUGAGUUAAGCACAGAUAAUUACAUUAAUUGAACAGGAUUUGGGAACCUGACUCCCUCAGGCUCCUGAGAAAAUCCCGGCCUGAGAGAGUGGGAGAGCAUCUGUACACAGCGCCCUGUGCAUAGGGAGUACGGGGGGUGGGGGGUUGACAAUACUAGCACAGAUAAGCCACUAAAAAAUAUCUUGAGAGUAUGGGAAAAUUAUGCUGGUAAAGAAAUAAUGCUGUUCUUUAUUUCACCAUCUACUCCAGGGGUGGCCAACCUGCGGCAUGCAUGCCACAAGUGAUACAGCAGCCUGCGCAUGGCAUGCAGCAGACCGGGGAAGGGGGGGGACACCACAGUAGCUGAUAGUGCAGGGAGCAGAAAGCAGAGCAGCAGAUUGGACAUGGAGCACAGGAACAGAGUAGAAAGCAGAACCCAAAGGAUAGGGAUCGCAGUGGCACUCAGUGGGGAUGCAGGGCUAAGUUUUGGCAUCUCUGCCAAAAAAAAGUUGGGCCCCACUAACCUACUUUAUGGCCUUUGCUGGAGGAGAAGGGAGGGGAGGAAUCAAGGACACAACUGAUACAGCUACACCUGUAAAAAGUCUCAGCACAGGCUAGACCUAUGGUAUUUCUGUGGAAAAGGUAAGGAGAGGCAACAUCCUUAAUGGUCUUCUUCAGUAAAGAUUUAACUGCAUUGCUUUUCAGAGCUCCUACACUGAAGUAGUAUCAUUUGUCUGGCAAUCUCAGAUCAAAAAACAAAGUUGUCAGCAAUGAAGAAAUUCCACCUGGCCGUGCGGGACAAGAGAAA